CUUCGGCACCUGUUUUACAGACACCUAAAGCUACAUCGUCAACGUUAUAUUUUGAUAGUUUGACGGUUAAUGCUGGUAAUGGUGGUUUUCUUCAUUGCAUUCAGAUGGAUACAUCUGUCAACGCCGCUAAUCAGGUUGUUUCUGUUGGUGCUGAUAUUGCUUUUGAUGCCGACCCUAAAUUUUUUGCCUGUUUGGUUCGCUUUGAGUCUUCUUCGGUUCCGACUACCCUCCCGACUGCCUAUGAUGUUUAUCCUUUGGAUGGUCGCCAUGAUGGUGGUUAUUAUACCGUCAAGGACUGUGUGACUAUUGACGUCCUUCCCCGUACGCCGGGCAAUAAUGUUUAUGUUGGUUUC
This 353-nucleotide ribosomal RNA is filed under the name uncultured prokaryote. RNAcentral describes it as "partial 16S ribosomal RNA". The record is from RNAcentral.